This is a non-coding RNA of Nelumbo nucifera (sacred lotus), 2826 nucleotides long. The record is from RefSeq and is a predicted model, not a curated record. Lineage: Eukaryota; Viridiplantae; Streptophyta; Magnoliopsida; Proteales; Nelumbonaceae.
CUGUUCGACAAGAUAGGAGGGUUCUCUUUCCAGAGAAAACCUUGCAGAAAAUUUCCGAAGACGACAAGCUUCUUCACGAGAAAGAAAGAUAGUAGACUUCUGUCCGUUCAAGCAAGAGAGGAGAAAAUUUCUGGGCCAUUCUCUGGGCGACCUCUGUCCGUUCAAGCAAGAGAGGAGAAAUUUCAGCGGCAGUGAACAGUGAGAAGUGAGAACCAGCCGACCAUCUUCCUCCUCUGCCAUUCUCAAGCAGUUUCAUUUUUCUCAGAGCAGUUUGGAAAUCAGAGUUAGAUACUAUUCUGGAGUUUCAAGUCCAACUGCCCAUUUAGGCAUUUACUGAAAGCUUCUCUGUUAAAAUGAACAUACUGAAGAAACUUAAAGAAAAGGGGACAUGAUCACGAGCAAGUAAAUCAGGGUCCCGCCUGACCACUAGUAACACACCCAAUAUAGAAGAUAUACAGGCACAUGCAAGUCAAGCGAUGGCUCAUACUAGGUUAACACCUAGUGUAGAUGAUACUACAUCACCAACCCAGUCACCAGACUUGGGAAGGCAUGAGGAGUCCUCUAGUGGGCAUGUUGGAGAGGGGUCUUCUCGUACAAUACGUCGGUUAAGAGGCCCCACUAUGGCCCUAGAUAUAUGGAACAUGCCUGAAGGGGAACAAAUUGAAGUUGGGUUUAAUGAAUACAACCAACCCAAUGAUGGAAAAACAAAGGAUUUAAUUAGAUUUUUGGGUAGCCUUGCACGAACUUCAAACUAGUUGCCCAUAGCCAUAGAUGAUUGGAGAGAUUCCUACAGAAACAAAGAAAGACAUAUGGAAACUUAUCAAGAAAAAAUUCAAGGUGAAUGAUGACAUGAAAGACUACACAAUGAAGUCAUUGGGUAAAAAGUGGAGGGAUUGGAAGUCCAAUUUGAAUAAAAAGUAUUAUGACCCUGAUCCGGAUAGUGUAGAUGCACUACCAAUUGAGCAGCUUGAAAAUCGGGUUGAUGCACACCAAUGGAGAAAUUUGGUACAGUUUUGGAGAUCUGAAAAAGGGACUACAAGAUCCAUAACCAACAAAGCUAACCACUCCAAACAAACAAUCAACCACACAGCAGGAGCAAAGAGCUUCGCACGAGUACACGAGGAAUUGAAAAUAGAGAGGGAAGCUGAUGUAUCACGUACGGAUGUAUUUUAUGCAACACACAGGAAAAAGGAUGGAACACUUGUAGAUCCAAGAUCGGGUUCUUUAAUGGAGGAAAUGCAAAAUUGCAUGUCUCAAGAGGAAGACACUCAAAAUGAGGGCAGUGAACAAGGACACGAUGAUGUUUAUGCUCAUGUGAUGGGCCAAGAGCGUCGUGGCCGAGUGCGUGGUAUAGGUUUAGGCCCAAACUCCGUCCAGGUUCAGGGGCCUAUGACAAAGCCAUGAAGAUGCCUUGAGGGCUGCUAAUGAAGGUAAAAGAGCAGUUGAAGAGUGUUCAUAGAAGCUGGAAGAACAAAUUGCAUCAAUGCGAGAACGGAUGGAUGCGAUGGAAGCUCAAUUACUUAAUAGACAGGGAUCGAGGUAAAUCAUCCCAAUUGCGAAGACACUCCUCCACACAUGCUUUUCAAAGUCCCUUUUAUCAUCAAUUUAGCUCCAACAUUGAAUCACAGGUGUUUUUAGAAAAUACAGAAUGUAAUUUGUUGACUUUCAUGCAAGGAGGAUUUGUAUCCGUUGCCAAAGCAACCAUUACAAGUUUAGAUCCUCAGAAGAUUGUGGGUGGUGUGCCACUUGGUUAUGGAUGAACAGAGGUCGUGAUCAAUGUUCCAAUUAUAAGUGAUGCACCAUUAACGCGCCCAUAUGGACGCUAUUAGAACAGUUGGAACCAUUGUUGGUGUUCUAAUUGCUUGGAGUUCAAUCCAUGUUCAUUCCUUAUGCUAAGCGGAUUUGCAUCUAUUCCCGGUGUCUCUUUAGAAAAGUAUGGAAUGAUUGUGUCCAAUAAAAUUCUCCUUAAUUCUCCUUUUCCUGUGGAAGUUCAUUGUACCCCCUCAACCCACCUUCAAUGCUGUCUCGCUCAACUUUGAUGGCUAUUUAUUGGGGCAUAAGUAUCAUGUAACAACUUUAACAGUUUUUAUUCUUGUUUCUUGGGGCCUAUAGGUGUUGGAAAUACUAUUAUAGUGAAGAUCUGUAUUAGUCAGGGACUUGUUUAUCAAUGUUAUUGGCUCUGAGAACCUAGUGGUGAAAGGUGAAUUGCAUGCCUCAAGCUGGUGCAGCCUGCAACUUAUUAAUGAGAAAGAAAAGAGAUAGGAGAAGGAAAAAUGGUGCACCUGCACCCCCAAGAACAAUAAAACAUGAAGGGUAGUCCCUAAGCCAUCUUUCCCCAACUAAGCAACUCAAAGAUCAUAAGGAUUACACUGAUAAAAAAACGAUCAUAAGGGCAGAGAAGGUUUUCAACCAAGAUCUAUAUUUCAAGAAGACUGUCAAAUAUGUUAGAGAACCAAUGACCCACUUGGAAUCCAUUGCUUCUUCUGCGGUACGUGCGGCAAUUAAGGUGAAGGCUUCUGUUAUUACUUGUUUCACCUCAUCUGGAAGGGCUGCUAGAUUGAUUGCAAGGUAUAGGUCAACAAUGCCUGUUAUUAUCAGUUGUCAUCCCUCGCCUCAAAACAAAUCAACUUAAAUGGAGUUUUACUGGUGCCUUUGAGGUCAACAGAUCCUACAAGUUUGGGCACUGUUAGAGUUGACAUCUCAGAAAGGAAUUUCAGAGCUCUUUGGUUGCUGGUGUUCCAUUGACUAGUGUUCUUGAGCCCACACAGGCACAAUGCCAUGAUGUUUCUGGAUAUUGUAAUAAUUAAUAAUUUAAUUAAAAGUUUU